CACGGUAGGAGGCGAGCGUUGUCCGGAUUUACUGGGCGUAAAGGGAGCGUAGGCGGACUUUUAAGUGAGAUGUGAAAUACCCGGGCUCAACUUGGGUGCUGCAUUUCAAACUGGAAGUCUAGAGUGCAGGAGAGGAGAAUGGAAUUCCUAGUGUAGCGGUGAAAUGCGUAGAUAUUAGGAGGAACACCAGUGGCGAAGGCGACUUACUGGACUGUAACUGACGCUGAGUCACGAAAGCGUGGGUAGCAAACAGGAUUAGAUACCCCCGGUAGUCCCU
RNAcentral lists this ribosomal RNA (277 nucleotides) under uncultured prokaryote. Its description in RNAcentral is "partial 16S ribosomal RNA". It matches the Rfam family "Bacterial small subunit ribosomal RNA", at positions 524 to 798 of the family's 1533-position model. The record is from RNAcentral.